Molecule: long non-coding RNA, 2395 nt
Organism: Helianthus annuus (common sunflower)
Lineage: Eukaryota; Viridiplantae; Streptophyta; Magnoliopsida; Asterales; Asteraceae
Exons: 9
Source: RefSeq, a predicted model, not a curated record
GGUAAAUUAGUCUUUUAAAUACUAAUUAUAUUUUAACUCCCUCACGUUAAUUACAUUUUAGUCCUUUAUUUUUGACCAACCAAAUCUUAAAUAAUUAUUUAGUAGUUACAUUUUCCUCUUUAAAUGGGUUAAAGGUACAAAUGUUAAAGUGUAAUAUACAACUAACUACAGCAAAGAAACUUUCAAAAGGUUGACCAGAGAUCAGAGAUCGAUACAGAAAUAGAGCGGGUCAACAUCUUCCUGUUAGUCAAAAACCACUGCCAUCACAAUUUUGGGGGUCAUAAUAUUUUCAAAACCAUUCAUCUCUCUCUCUCUUUCACCUCAAAGAUACAAAUCGAGAUCUAGGAGGCAAUCAGAAUAACAAUCUGAUUCAGUUGCUAGCUGAUUCGUCUGAUUCUUUCUCAUCAGAUCAGUGUUUCAAAUUUAGCCCUUGUUGGUGCAUUUAUGACUAAACCGGAAGCUGGGUCACCUGUCACCAAGCACCUGCCGCUUUUAUCUUCUACUCACCUACCCAGAGGUUUUCUUCAUUCUACACAAAUACAGAGAUCAGAGAUCGAUACAGAAAUAGAGCGGGUCAACAUCUUCCUGUUAGUCAAAAACCACUGCCAUCACAAUUUUGGGGGUCAUAAUAUUUUCAAAACCAUUCAUCUCUCUCUCUCUUUCACCUCAAAGAUACAAAUCGAGAUCUAGGAGGCAAUCAGAAUAACAAUCUGAUUCAGUUGCUAGCUGAUUCGUCUGAUUCUUUCUCAUCAGAUCAGUGUUUCAAAUUUAGCCCUUGUUGGUGCAUUUAUGACUAAACCGGAAGCUGGGUCACCUGUCACCAAGUCUGAUUACGAUAGGCAGAAAUUAUCAACAGAUCCCUUCAUAGAAAGGAAAAUGGAGUUUUUGAUUGAAAGCGUGGAUGAUCUCUCAAUGGAACAUUAAAAGUUCUAUUUUUUCUAUCACAGUCUGUCACGUCAACAAGCCUAGCAAGAAACAUGGCUUCAAAAGUGAAGGUACCUGCAUUUGAUGUUUGAUAAUGCUACUGUGGAUACUUACAGCUAAGAAUUGGAUCUUUAAGCACAUAUGGAAUGCAUUCUUAUGAUCUUAAUUCACCUUUUACGUGGAUCACCUAUUUAUUAUUGUUUGGCUUCUUGUAUAUGUUUAAUAGGGCUGAAAUAAUGGCCCAUGUUAAGCAUAGAAGUUGGGGGGUAUUGGUACUAGAGAUAUUAGAAGUGCUAAUCUUAUGUUGCUAGCAAAAUGGAUGUGGAAACUUAAAGACAGGCCUACGACUUUAUGGGUUAAGGUGGUGGUUCCGAUCAAUGGUAGUUCAAGAGUGGUUGGGCAAUUCCCCCUGAAAAAACGGUAUUUGUGAGAUGUGGAAAGACAUCUGCUCUGUUGAGAAAAGUUUUAUGCUUUGAGCCUUCCAAUUGGCGACGGGGGUAAAACUAUGUUUUGGAUGGAUAACUGGGUUGAGGGCGGUCCCUUGUGGAGGAGAUUCCCGGCGGGUUUUGUACGCGCUAAAAAUAAAGAGGUUGUGGUUUCUUAGUGUAGAACGAUAUUGGGCGAGGGAUGGGUCUGGUCUUAGGAAUGGAAAACGAGUUCAAGUUCCGAAGCCUUCUGGUCACAGUUUGACACACUAGCAGCUUGUCUUGGGGCUGUGCAGAUCAGAGACGGGGCAGACAGAUGGACUUGGGGGUCUUACUCUGAUGUAAACUUCACGAUGGCGGGUGUCUGAGCAGACAUUGUCAAAGCAUUGAACUUGGAUCCAGCUGAGGGAUGGGGAUCGUGGAACAAGUGGGCGCCUGCAAAGCUGAAUUUCUUUAUGUGGCGUGCCUUCGCUGACAGAACCCGGUCAAAACGACUCCGAGGCGAAGGGGCGUCACGCUUUCGGAUACCCUUUGUCGCUUAUGCAGGUUCAAAGAAGAAAGUGCGACCAUAUUUCUUGCCUCUUGCGUUCUCUCUCGCGCUAUUUGGUGGAAUGUUAUGGUCAGACCAGAAUCCCUUUUCCCUCAGGUCAGUUUUCUUUAAAGGGUGUGGGGUUUGUUUGAUAAGCUCGUAGGGUAAAAGAUGUGGAAGAAAGUAGUGGGCAUGAUCUUCUUAACAACGGUUUGAAUAUGGAAACCAGAAAUGAGAAAGCGUUUCGCAACAAAAGGUUCAAGGUCUCGGAAGUGGUUGAAAGCAUAAAGGAAUACUCUUUUCUGUCCUUAGGGUGCAGGGCCUCUUUUAAAUCGCUGGACUGGAAUAAAUGGGGUGACUUAACAUAGGCGCUGUAAUAUGAUGUCCUCUUUUAUGUUCUGUUUUGAACUGUAUGUUUGUUCGGGUGCCCAACGGCUAGCUGCCCCAGUGUUCUAUUGAUUUAAUAGAAUGUGGUUGUUCAGAAAAAAAAAAAAAAAAAAAAAAAAAAAAAAAAAAA